AAGCCACAAGCCAAGGGAGGAGGAUCAUUAAAAGGCCAGAGAAUCACUUAGCUACAGUCCAGUAUUCAAGCAGGGUGGCACAAAUGGCUCAACUCUUCAACUACAUAUGUGGAAGAAAGCAAAGCUAGAAAGGUGUCAGUUCACUUUGUGCAGGAAAUGAGCUCAAACCAGUAUUACUGUACAAAUAAACAACUGAAACAGGAAAAUAGACGUCAGAAUAGCAACAAGUUUUUAAUGAAGAAUGCAGCUUCAGGAACCAAUGAAAGCACUGACGGAUUAUAUAGGAUUGUGCAUUUCUUCAAGAUACAGGAUCUUGAAGUUUUAUUCAACAUUGAUGCUCCUAUUAUCUCCACAAUCUGACUCUGGAGUGAGGACCUAACAUGACACGAAGCAAGCAGACUUCACAGCUGAACCAGACUCAGAUGUGUCCUGAGUCUUCUGCGCAUCAGCAUUUCUGCAAGGUAAACUUCGCUUGAAACACUCAGGCAUCUUCAACAUCAAGGCAGUAGCUCUUGCA
Molecule: long non-coding RNA, 517 nt
Organism: Pristis pectinata (smalltooth sawfish)
Lineage: Eukaryota; Metazoa; Chordata; Chondrichthyes; Rhinopristiformes; Pristidae
Exons: 4
Source: RefSeq, a predicted model, not a curated record